GCUGCUUGCCAGGUAGCUCUAUUAUACAUGUUGUUCUCGCACGCACGCGUGCGCGUGCACGUCUAACCGCCAAGUGCAAUAUUUGAAAAAGAAAACUCGAUCUACCGGUACUACCGUUUUGCCGUUGAUAAGUCCGUCGAUAAUUCAUCAAAAACUAAAGGAACACGGGUCAGAUUCGGACAGCGACUUCAAAGUCAUUUGUAGAAGGCUAAACAUUUGGACGACGGAUACACUGGAUGCUAAGUUAGAUGGUCCAGCCUUAUCUGGGAAUGACACGACGGGUGUUGAACACAGAAAACGUGCCGUGUACAAGAAAUAAUUGGAGUUUAUGAAAGCUUCAAGGAAUUAAUC
Long non-coding RNA from Lytechinus variegatus (green sea urchin), 351 nucleotides. RefSeq lists it as uncharacterized. Lineage: Eukaryota; Metazoa; Echinodermata; Echinoidea; Temnopleuroida; Toxopneustidae. The transcript is spliced from 3 exons. The record is from RefSeq and is a predicted model, not a curated record.